This 99-nucleotide transfer RNA is filed under the name Colletotrichum incanum. It matches the Rfam family "tRNA". From Rfam's summary of the family: Transfer RNA (tRNA) molecules are approximately 80 nucleotides in length. Their secondary structure includes four short double-helical elements and three loops (D, anti-codon, and T loops). The record is from Rfam by way of RNAcentral. Lineage: Eukaryota; Fungi; Ascomycota; Sordariomycetes; Glomerellales; Glomerellaceae.
GGACGGGUGGCGCAAUGGCAGCGCUUAUCUUUCCGGUCAAGCCUCUUGAACUCUUGUCCCCAAUAGAUGGGGUUGCGGGUUCGAGUCCUAUCUCGUCCG